UACGAAGGGGGCUAGCGUUGCUCGGAAUUACUGGGCGUAAAGGGCGCGUAGGCGGUUCUGUUGGUCAGGCGUGAAAUUCCUGGGCUUAACCUGGGGGCUGCGCUUGAUACGGCAGGGCUAGAGGACGGAAGAGGCUCGUGGAAUUCCCAGUGUAGAGGUGAAAUUCGUAGAUAUUGGGAAGAACACCGGUGGCGAAGGCGGCGAGCUGGUCCGUUACUGACGCUGAGGCGCGACAGCGUGGGGAGCAAACAGG
Molecule: ribosomal RNA, 253 nt
Filed under: uncultured bacterium
Lineage: Bacteria
Description: partial 16S ribosomal RNA
Rfam family: Bacterial small subunit ribosomal RNA
Source: RNAcentral